This 413-nucleotide ribosomal RNA is filed under the name uncultured bacterium. RNAcentral's name for it is "bacterial SSU rRNA". It matches the Rfam family "Bacterial small subunit ribosomal RNA", at positions 507 to 917 of the family's 1533-position model. The record is from RNAcentral.
GCCAGCAGCCGCGGUAAUACGAAGGGGUGCAAGCGUUACUCGGAAUUACUGGGCGUAAAGCGUGCGUAGGUGGUCGUUUAAGUCCGUUGUGAAAGCCCUGGGCUCAACCUGGGAACUGCAGUGGAUACUGGACGACUAGAGUGUGGUAGAGGGUAGCGGAAUUCCUGGUGUAGCAGUGAAAUGCGUAGAGAUCAGGAGGAACAUCCAUGGCGAAGGCAGCUACCUGGACCAACACUGACACUGAGGCACGAAAGCGUGGGGAGCAAACAGGAUUAGAUACCCUGGUAGUCCACGCCCUAAACGAUGCGAACUGGAUGUUGGGUGCAAUUUGGCACGCAGUAUCGAAGCUAACGCGUUAAGUUCGCCGCCUGGGGAGUACGGUCGCAAGACUGAAACUCAAAGGAAUUGACGGC